Non-coding RNA from Helianthus annuus (common sunflower), 148 nucleotides. The record is from Rfam. Lineage: Eukaryota; Viridiplantae; Streptophyta; Magnoliopsida; Asterales; Asteraceae.
GUUCUUGUCAUUGGGGCAUCAUCAAGAUUCACAAAUAAGUAACAUCAUUAUAGGCGAUAUCAUCGUUUAUUCGAAAACUUCUAUCGAUCUAAUAUUAUUUCUUGAUUGUUAAUUUUGAGAAUCUUGAUGAUGCUGCAGUGGCAAGUAA